UUAUAUGAGAGUUUGAUCCUGGCUCAGGACGAACGCUGGCGGCGUGCCUAAUACAUGCAAGUCGAACGCACGAAGUUGAAGAGCUUGCUCUUUAACCAAGUGAGUGGCGGACGGGUGAGUAACACGUGGGUAACCUGCCCAUUAGAGGGGGAUAACAUUCGGAAACGGAUGCUAAUACCGCAUAGUUUCAGGGAUCGCAUGAUUCUUGAAGGAAAGGUGGCUCCGGCUACCACUAAUGGAUGGACCCGCGGCGUAUUAGCUAGUUGGUGAGGUAAUGGCUCACCAAGGCAAUGAUACGUAGCCGACCUGAGAGGGUGAUCGGCCACACUGGGACUGAGACACGGCCCAGACUCCUACGGGAGGCAGCAGUAGGGAAUCUUCCGCAAUGGACGAAAGUCUGACGGAGCAACGCCGCGUGAGUGAAGAAGGUUU
Molecule: ribosomal RNA, 432 nt
Filed under: Carnobacterium maltaromaticum
Lineage: Bacteria; Bacillati; Bacillota; Bacilli; Lactobacillales; Carnobacteriaceae
Description: bacterial SSU rRNA
Rfam family: Bacterial small subunit ribosomal RNA
Source: RNAcentral